GCCGUAGAAGCUCCAAAACCAUGGAUCUGAGAAGAUCUGAACGGACACCCAUUAAUUUCAUAUCUCAAAGCUUCGAACCCCAACAUUUAAGAGUGGAGGGAGGUGAGUACAGGCCAUCCAUGGCCUGAGAAGCCAUAAAUUACGGUGAUGUUAUGCUUGAAGAGAGUGAGAGGGGCUAGGGUUUCAAGAACCUUCGAGAGAAUUUUGAGAGAGGAGAGUGUUUG
Molecule: long non-coding RNA, 224 nt
Filed under: Nicotiana benthamiana
Lineage: Eukaryota; Viridiplantae; Streptophyta; Magnoliopsida; Solanales; Solanaceae
Description: long non-coding RNA (NBEN_LNC030726)
Source: RNAcentral